RNAcentral lists this ribosomal RNA (1445 nucleotides) under uncultured prokaryote. Its description in RNAcentral is "partial 16S ribosomal RNA". It matches the Rfam family "Bacterial small subunit ribosomal RNA". The record is from RNAcentral.
GGAUGAACGCUAGCGGCAGGCUUAACACAUGCAAGUCGAGGGGUAACAGGAAAAAGCUUGCUUUUUUGCUGACGACCGGCGCACGGGUGCGUAACACGUAUGCAACCUACCUUUCACUGGAGGAUAGCCCCGAGAAAUCGGGAUUAAUACUCCAUAACAUCACAGAUUCGCAUGUUUCUGUGAUCAAAGCUCAGGCGGUGAGAGAUGGGCAUGCGUCCUAUUAGUUUGUUGGUAAGGUAACGGCUUACCAAGACUACGAUAGGUAGGGGGUCUGAGAGGAUGAUCCCCCACACUGGUACUGAGACACGGACCAGACUCCUACGGGAGGCACCAGUGAGGAAUAUUGGUCAAUGGACGAAAGUCUGAACCAGCCAUGCCGCGUGCAGGAAGACUGCCCUACGGGUUGUAAACUGCUUUUAUGUGGGAAUAAACCCCUGGAUGUGUAGAGGGCUGACGGUACCAAACGAAUAAGCACCGGCUAACUCCGUGCCAGCAGCCGCGGUAAUACGGAGGAUCCAAGCGUUAUCCGGAUUUAUUGGGUUUAAAGGGUCCGUAGGCGGGACAUUAAGUCAGUGGUGAAAGCCUUCAGCUUAACUGGAGAAUUGCCAUUGAUACUGAUGUUCUUGAGUACGUUUGAAGUGGGCGGAAUAUGUUCAUGCAGCGGUGAAAUGCAUAGAUAUGACACAGAACACCGAUUGCGAAAGGAAGCUUACUAAACCGUUACUGACGCUGAGGGACGAAAGCGUGGGGAGCGAACAGGAUUAGAUACCCUGGUAGUCCACGCCGUAAACGAUGAUCACUAGAUAUUGGCAUUAGUCAGUGUCCAAGCGAAAGCGAUAAGUGAUCCACCUGGGGAGUACGCCGGCAACGGUGAAACUCAAAGGAAUUGACGGGGGCCCGCACAAGCGGUGGAGCAUGUGGUUUAAUUCGAUGAUACGCGAGGAACCUUACCAGGGCUUAAAUGCAGAACGACCGGUCUGGAAACAGACCUUUCUUCGGACGGACUGCAAGGUGCUGCAUGGUUGUCGUCAGCUCGUGCCGUGAGGUGUCGGGUUAAGUCCCAUAACGAGCGCAACCCCUAUCUUUAGUUGCCAGCGGGUAAUGCCGGGGACUCUAGAGAAACUGCCAGCGUAAGCUGAGAGGAAGGUGGGGAUGACGUCAGAUCAUCACGGCCCUUACGUCCUGGGCUACACACGUGCUACAAUGGCAAGGACAAUGAGCUGCCAACCCGCGAGGGUGAGCAAAUCUUCAAACCUUGUCUCAGUUCGGAUCGGAGUCUGCAACUCGACUCCGUGAAGUUGGAAUCGCUAGUAAUCGCGUAUCAGCCAUGACGCGGUGAAUACGUUCCCGGGCCUUGUACACACCGCCCGUCAAGCCAUGGAAGCUGGGAGUGCCUGAAGUCGGUCACCGUAAGGAGCGCCUAGGGUAAAACCAAUGACUGGGGU